UGGGGAAUAUUGCACAAUGGGGGAAACCCUGAUGCAGCGACGCCGCGUGAACGAAGAAGGUAUUCGUAUCGUAAAGUUCUGUCCUAUGGGAAGAUAAUGACAGUACCAUAGAAGAAAGCUCCGGCUAAAUACGUGCCAGCAGCCGCGGUAAUACGUAUGGAGCGAGCGUUGUCCGGAAUUAUUGGGCGUAAAGGGUACGCAGGCGGUUUAAUAAGUCGAAUGUUAAAGAUCGGGGCUCAACCCCGCAAAGCAUUGGAAACUGAUAAACUUGAGUAGUGGAGAGGAAAGUGGAAUUCCUAGUGUAGUGGUGAAGUACGUAGAUAUUAGGAGGAGUACCAGUAGCGAAGGCGACUUUCUGGACACAAACUGACGCUGAGGUACGAAAGCGUGGGGAGCAAACAGG
RNAcentral lists this ribosomal RNA (403 nucleotides) under bacterium. RNAcentral's name for it is "partial 16S ribosomal RNA". It matches the Rfam family "Bacterial small subunit ribosomal RNA", at positions 355 to 776 of the family's 1533-position model. The record is from RNAcentral.